AGUUUUCUGUGGUUCAUAAGCAUGAUGAUUGGGUUUUCAUGCUUAUGUGUGAGAUGUGCCUCCCUCAAACCUUGUUACGACAUUGGCACAUUACCCAUCUGAUG
Homo sapiens (human) is the source of this 104-nucleotide small nucleolar RNA. The record is from Ensembl. NCBI's taxonomy places the organism in Eukaryota, Metazoa, Chordata, Mammalia, Primates, Hominidae.